GGAUACUCAGUCGGUAGAGCAUGAGACUCUUAAUCUCAGGACUGUGGGUUUGAGCCCCAUGUUGGGCA
This is a non-coding RNA of Podarcis lilfordi (Lilford's wall lizard), 68 nucleotides long. The record is from the annotation of a GenBank genome assembly. NCBI's taxonomy places the organism in Eukaryota, Metazoa, Chordata, Lepidosauria, Squamata, Lacertidae.